Haliotis rubra (blacklip abalone) is the source of this 169-nucleotide long non-coding RNA. RefSeq lists it as uncharacterized. The record is from RefSeq and is a predicted model, not a curated record. The transcript has 3 exons. Lineage: Eukaryota; Metazoa; Mollusca; Gastropoda; Lepetellida; Haliotidae.
UGCUGGCAGUGCAGGUGAUUUCACCAGCCAUGUCACAACAAGGUGUUAGCAGUGUCUCUAGUGGGUGUAGGUGAUGUCACAAGUGGUGUAGGUGAUGUCACAAGUGGUGUAGGUGAUGUCACCAGUCAUGUCACAACUGGGGUGUUAGCAGUGUCUCUAGUGGGUGUAG